UAUGUGUUUCUAACUCCAAAUUAGUUCUCUCUCUUCCCUCAUCAUCAUUCUUCCUUUUUUUCUUCCAUCAACUUCAUUCUCCUAUUCUUUUCCCCUAAUUGUUAGAUCUCACAUAUUAACAAAGAUUGCUAUCUUGAUUUUGAUAAAAAGGAUAGCCUAUCCUUCACUUUUCUUGAUCUAUAGAUGUUUUUACAACAAAAAAAAAACAAAUGGUUUAGUUUCUGCUUUAAUUUAGUUUUCUUUUUCGAGUAAAGAGCUUCUUCACCUGCAUAGUUUCUCUCUUGUUCCCUCUUUUUUAGUUUCUCUUUAGACAAAUUCCGUGAGAAAAAUAUUUACACAUAUUCCGUGAGCCUUUUUAUCUAAAAAUAUAUUUCUUUUUCUGGCAUGAUAUGAUAUGUACUUUUGGUUUUGGAUGGGAUUGGCAGGAAGAAGGCCAUAGUUGCAUGGACAGAUAAACAGUCGUCAUUUGCGGAUGUAGCAUCAUCAAGAUUCACAUGAUGAAAGUGCAAGUGGGUUGGUUGGUUGGUUUCUGAUCUGAUCAAUGUAAAUUUAACAACUCCUUAUGUCUUUUUUUAACUGAGAAUCUUGAUGAUGCUGCAUCAGCCAUAAACGGCUUUAAAAAAUACUGUCAAAGAUCUGACCAAUGUUUAAGCAGCUGCUCUCUCACCCUUUCAACAACUUUGCUUUUUGUGCUUCUGUCAGAUCUCAAGAGAACUUCAACAAAGUCUGCAAUUUUUUGUUGUAAGGUAAGGUUUAUGAAAAACUGUCUCGAAUAAUCUACGAAGAAGGACUCGUAGUUUAACAAAGACCGAUAAUUCUCAUCAUAACACAACUUCGAUGGCAAUCUUAGUUGGUGUUAAUUUGCCUACAAAGAAAACAAAUACUGUGAGUUUGUUUUCUCUUAUUUAGUUGAAUUAACAUUAUUGGCCUGACAUGGUUUUAAAUUGCAGUUCGCAACUGAUAUGGCUGCAAUAUUGACUCAUGCAACAAUAUCGGACCAAAAUUGCAAUGUAUGUGCGAUUGCAUUAUGAACAUUACUGCUUCUGUUGUUUUUCGCCCUUCUGUUUGUUUUUUAGACCCUUAGACUUUUGCUGAGUUUGUUGCUCUUGCGCACUACUAGUACUAGUGCUCUUUGUUCUUUUUAUAACAUUUUCUUUCGCUAUUAAAAAAAAACUCUUAUAAAAAUUCAAGUUUUAGCAUCCCAAAUCUCAUUCUUCUUCGAAAAUAUAAAUUCAUAAGUAUUUAUUCACGCUGCAGCAACAACAAGUCUCAUGGCAUUGAGACUGCAAUCGUAACACCUGCAACUGUUUGUGUAAUUUAAUACUAUGUGUAAGAGCAUAAGAAGACCCUGAACUAGAACUUAUACUUAAAGUUUAAAGUAGCGACGUCAAACACAGUGUUUGAAGUUUUGUGUGAUUUUAAAGCAUUUGUCCGGUGUAGAACAAAUGGGGUACAUCUUAAAUAUCUUAAUUGUCUUUUUUUUGUUGUCUAUACAGAGAAAGUUAAAGUUAAAAGAUUUAUUGAUUGUUGUCAUCUUCUGAUUCUGAUUUUCAAAUAGCCAAAAACUUUUCUUUUCCUGUGAGAUUUGGGUUUCCCUUCACACAAGCCACAAAGUUUAUUCUCCUCAUUGCAUGAAAAAAUGCUAUUUAAUUGUAUAGUAUGACAUUAUUCAUAUCAUUACUCAGUUAAAACCAAGAUUAUACAGAAAUAACAGACAAAUGGGCAUUAAGCUGGGCUGUUACCCCUUUUUGGAUGGUAAAAUUAAUCGGCUUAAAAACUUCAUUCAUUGUUCUAGGUGAUACAACAUUACUAUGCAUGGAUCUUUACACUUUCUGUAAAAAAUCCACUGCUGCUUCUGGUGCUUGUAACAUAGCUGUAAAUGUUGCAGCAAAAUACUGAAAAAUGUGGUCCAAAUUGGGGUUUUGAAACUGUCACUGAGACCACAAAAUUCAUUGUUAUUGCAUAAGACAAUUUUAAACCAUUUUUUCGCCUUAUUUUCUUCGUUUUAUUUUAGUAUUUUUGAUCUUUCAUGUAUCAUGUCAAAAUAUAUAGAUACAUCUAUUAUAACAUAUCUUGCAUUGGUGUUAACAAGAAUACUUAUACAUUAUGUAUCAUACAAGAAUUAAUUAUACGUUUUGGAAUGGAUAAUAUUCAUAGUUGUUUUCUCAAUGCAUAUAAUAGAUUAUUGAAAACUGAAGCUGGGAACAUGGAUAUACCAAAACAAUGGACAUUGUUUUAACUUUUAAGUAGUUUCCAUGAUGAUGAAGGUUUUGGCUUUAUUAAUAAUACUGAAAACAUCCCUGCUUGGUGGACCAACAGUUCUCUUUCAAGUUGGACCCUUGUAGUGAGAUGGUGAAGUCUUCAAUCAAAUAUUUGCAGUAUUCACACUUUGCAUUUCCAAUCUUUGAUUCAAGAUAAAAGAAAACAAAUUUUAAACAAAUUCUUCACAAGCACACCGCAAUGGUUGCCUCAUGCUUCUGGCAACAUGAGAAUAUAGUCGUCUUUGAAGUUGUACAAGAUGAGCUACAACACAAAUCUCAAAUUUGCCUGGUAAACCAUACUUACAUAGCGCUAUUAAACAAAUUCUUUGCUAACACACCGCAAUGUUUGCCUCGUGCUUCUAACAAACAUGAGAACAGAAUCGUCUUUAAGACGAUAGAGUGUCAGUUUAUUUACCAACAAACCUACUUCUAUGGACUAUUAAUGCUCAAAGUUAAAUAGUAAAUCUUUCAUUUCUUUUUUCAAAAAAUUAGACUUACAUUUCUUCAUGAUUGAUGAUAGUAAUGAUUCAAUAUGUUCAAAAGAUUGAAGAUCCAAUCACAUGGAAAUAUGUGUGCCCCCAUCACUGUCCUAAUGCUACAUCAUUGAGAGGCUUGUGUACAAUCUCUGCUCAAAAUUAAUCUCCUUUUCCCUCCCCACAGCCCCCCACCCCCCGACCCAAAAAUAAUAUUGCCCUAUUUCUCCGUACAUUACAACAAGACUCAUCAUAUAUAUUGCAUGCAUUAGGCCCACUCAUAUUCAAUUACUUUUUAUUUUCUAUAUGGACUUUCAAUAUUCACAAUUACUGUCAAUAUAUAGUCAAUGGUGCUUUAAGUACUAUAGGAAAGAUUGAUGGUGAAUGUACUAUAUUGGUUAGAGAAAAUAUAGAUAGCAUUCAAUCUCCUUAAUAUGGAUCUGGUCCAAACCAUCAACCUUUAUGUCAACCCAUUAACUCCAUGUAUUUAUUCUAUAUAAUAUCCUACUAUUUUAGGUAAGUUUUUACAUCAUUUUUUCUUGUAUUUUUGACAAAAACAUCUACUGUAUAGUAGUAUAAAAGUAACAUGUUUAUGAUUUACAUACAUUUUUGUUUGUAGUUGGAGAUACAGAAGUGAGGGGGGAAAUUUAGAAUUCUCCGCACUUUAAAAAACGGUCUGAUACCAUAAAAACCGGGGACGGUUCUAAGGCCCAGCGAGCCCAGGCACGCGCCCGGGCUCAACUCCUAUUUUCUUUGUAUUCCUCCAAUUUAAUAGUCGAUUUUUAGACAAAAUUAUGAACAAAAUUAGUAAAAAUAGGAUGUGAAAAUUAAAACAGAUAAAUAAUCAAUAAUAUUAAUUUUUUGUCCAGACUGCCUAAAAUUAUUAGCUCCGCCACUAUUAAAAACAGCUACAAUAAAACAGUAUCAUAAGGUUAAGGUGUUGAUAUCUUUAUUCAUAUUUUUUAUAUUGAAAAAAAAUCACAAAUAAAAAGCCGUUAGGACCACAAAAGAAAACUUGGAGAGCAAUGAAUACCUGGGUCAUUUGUUUACUUUAAGUGUCACUUGUAGUCUUUUUAUGGUUAUAAAUAUAUUUUUAACCCUUAAAAAAGUUAUACCUAAAUGCUGUGUUUUUUGUUUUUCAAAAACUGAAAAGAGUAAUUAACGUGGCAAACCCUAAGUAUAUUGUAAGAUGAAGGAUGUAUAAGCAAAUCUCAUGAGUGCAUUGUUUAGUUUUGGUAUGGGAAAAGUAACUGAAUGGGGGAGUUAUCCAGGUAGGCACUGCUGUGUGAGGUGAUAGUAGAAUCCAUUUGAAAUAUGGCAUGUACAAAACAGCUUUAGUUUUGUGAUUUCUAUGAUUGUUCAUCCAUCCUACUAGAAGCAUGUAAUCAUUAAAACUGAGACAAUUCUGCUAGUUCAUAGAACUGUAUUUUUACUAAUUAUUAAGUUUUAGAUUUAUAAAAUAUAAUUUCUUUAAUAACAAGACAGAAAUCACAUAUUACAAUGAAUUUUUAUUACAAUAAUUGCAAAAAUUAGAAAAAACACCAGAAAUGUGGAAGAAAAAUAAAUCUGAUUAA
Long non-coding RNA from Vicia villosa (hairy vetch), 4308 nucleotides. RefSeq lists it as uncharacterized. The transcript is spliced from 3 exons. The record is from RefSeq and is a predicted model, not a curated record. NCBI's taxonomy places the organism in Eukaryota, Viridiplantae, Streptophyta, Magnoliopsida, Fabales, Fabaceae.